This 484-nucleotide ribosomal RNA is filed under the name uncultured bacterium. Its description in RNAcentral is "partial 16S ribosomal RNA". It matches the Rfam family "Bacterial small subunit ribosomal RNA", at positions 30 to 507 of the family's 1533-position model. The record is from RNAcentral.
AUUGAACGCUGGCGGCAGGCCUAACACAUGCAAGUCGAGCGGAUGAAGGGAGCUUGCUCCUGGAUUCAGCGGCGGACGGGUGAGUAAUGCCUAGGAAUCUGCCUGGUAGUGGGGGAUAACGUCCGGAAACGGGCGCUAAUACCGCAUACGUCCUGAGGGAGAAAGUGGGGGAUCUUCGGACCUCACGCUAUCAGAUGAGCCUAGGUCGGAUUAGCUAGUUGGUGGGGUAAAGGCCUACCAAGGCGACGAUCCGUAACUGGUCUGAGAGGAUGAUCAGUCACACUGGAACUGAGACACGGUCCAGACUCCUACGGGAGGCAGCAGUGGGGAAAAUUGGACAAUGGGCGAAAGCCUGAUCCGGCCAUGCCGCGUGUGUGAAGAAGGUCUUCGGAUUGUAAAGCACUUUAAGUUGGGAGGAAGGGCAGUAAGUUAAUACCUUGCUGUUUUGACGUUACCAACAGAAUAAGCACCGGCUAACUUCGUG